RNAcentral lists this ribosomal RNA (508 nucleotides) under uncultured bacterium. Its description in RNAcentral is "partial 16S ribosomal RNA". It matches the Rfam family "Bacterial small subunit ribosomal RNA", at positions 28 to 523 of the family's 1533-position model. The record is from RNAcentral.
GAUGAACGCUAGCUACAGGCUUAACACAUGCAAGUCGAGGGGAAACGAUAUUGGAAGCUUGCUUCCGAUAGGCGUCGACCGGCGCACGGGUGAGUAACGCGUAUCCAACCUGCCCACCACUUGGGGAUAACCUUGCGAAAGUAAGACUAAUACCCAAUGAUGUCCAUAGAAGACAUCUGAAAUGGAUUAAAGAUUUAUCGGUGAUGGAUGGGGAUGCGUCUGAUUAGCUUGUUGGCGGGGUAACGGCCCACCAAGGCGACGAUCAGUAGGGGUUCUGAGAGGAAGGUCCCCCACAUUGGAACUGAGACACGGUCCAAACUCCUACGGGAGGCAGCAGUGAGGAAUAUUGGUCAAUGGGCAAGAGCCUGAACCAGCCAAGUAGCGUGCAGGAUGACGGCCCUAUGGGUUGUAAACUGUUUUUAUAAGGGAAUAAAGUGAGCCUCGUGAGGCUUUUUGCAUGUACCUUAUGAAUAAGGACCGGCUAAUUCCGUGCCAGCCGCCGCAGUAA